Molecule: non-coding RNA, 72 nt
Organism: Gymnothorax javanicus (giant moray)
Lineage: Eukaryota; Metazoa; Chordata; Actinopteri; Anguilliformes; Muraenidae
Source: the annotation of a GenBank genome assembly
GGGGAAUUAGCUCAAAUGGUAGAGCGCUAAAUUAGCAUGCGAGAGGUAGCGGAUCAAUGCCCGCAUUCUCCA